AUAUGCAGAAAGAGCUCUACCACGGGAGCGACAAGAUCUGAAUACGGGUGCUGAGCGGGAUUAUCUGAGACUCUGACGUUGUGAAUAUGAACGAGGCAGUGCCUGACGGAGAAUACCAAUGUCAUGGCUGCUUGAACUCUGGACGCGUCCAUGCCGUGUCAUAGCGUCCGAGAGUACAGGCAAGUUCGAAAAGGAUAGCACCCGUAGUUGUGCAGGACCAUCCACCUCAACGACAUCAACUGGAUAAGAGAUGGAUGCCUGCUACUGCAGAAAAAAUUGACAUAAAGGACGUGCUAUGAAGGAAGUUUACACUGCCUUUCUUCUAAUUCCUUCAUUGACACCCCAGCCCCACAACAUAUCCAAUUGCUGACUCCAAUGUUCCUUAACAUUCCCGAGCUCGGGCAGAUCGCGGUACCAGGAAGGCGCUCUCCUCGCGGCUAACUACUCGCUCUUUUCUGUUCAUUAUCUUUAAGUCUUGGCCUCAAUAUCGAAAUAAAUAUUAUAUAUUAUAAGCUUUGA
Molecule: long non-coding RNA, 519 nt
Organism: Drosophila subobscura
Lineage: Eukaryota; Metazoa; Arthropoda; Insecta; Diptera; Drosophilidae
Exons: 3
Source: RefSeq, a predicted model, not a curated record